Molecule: ribosomal RNA, 403 nt
Filed under: Fusobacteriota bacterium
Lineage: Bacteria; Fusobacteriati; Fusobacteriota
Description: Fusobacteria bacterium partial 16S ribosomal RNA
Rfam family: Bacterial small subunit ribosomal RNA
Source: RNAcentral
UGGGGAAUAUUGCACAAUGGAGGGAACUCUGAUGCAGCGACGCCGCGUGAACGAAGAAGGCUUUCGAGUCGUAAAGUUCUUUUAUAUGGGAAGAUAAUGACGGUACCAUAAGAAAAAGCCCCGGCUAACUACGUGCCAGCAGCCGCGGUAAUACGUAGGGGGCUAGCGUUGUCCGGAAUCACUGGGCGUAAAGGGUUCGCAGGCGGAAAUGCAAGUCAGGUGUAAAAGGCAGUAGCUUAACUACUGUAAGCAUUUGAAACUGCAUAUCUUGAGAAGAGUAGAGGUAAGUGGAAUUUUUAGUGUAGCGGUGAAAUGCGUAGAUAUGAAAAAGAAUACCGGUGGCGAAGGAGACUUACUGGGCUCAAUCUGAAGCUGAGGAACGAAAGCGUGGGUAGCAAACAGG